CCAAUAUUAAGUAUUGUUAACAAAAUGGAUGAAAAUAGGUCAGUGUCACCUAUUUUCGUUUUUGUUUUUUUUCUUUGAAAGCUGCAGAUAUCUUGAAAGAAAAUUAAACCACAAUGAAAAAGGUUCCAUUUUAAGUAGGAAAAAAAUUUAUUGCAGAAAAUAUCAUUUAGAUUUUAUAAAUAGUAUGUACUUUAAUUGAGCUCAUUUCUUUGGUAUCAUAAGAAUUUCAGAAUUUAGUUCAAGUGUCAGCAUUAUUAAACACUCAUCUCAAUUCUUUGGUCUGCCUUUCUUUUUUUAAAAAAAAAAACAAAGCAUUUUCUGACGAAUCACAAAAAAAAAAUUACUUAUAAAAAUAUUAAUUUCUAAAAUCUGAUUAGAAUUUGGAAACGGAGAGUAGGUUAAUAUCGUUAAUUUGAAUUCGAUGUGUCUAAAAUAUAUUUUGUCUAUGUUAGAUUUUUUACAUCCUUAAUAAUUUGAAACAGAAACAUCCUUCAAUAUAUUCAGAAAAGGAAGUAAUAGUUUCAAGAUGAAAAAAAAUUUAUAUGUACCCUUAAUUAUACAAAAAACAAGAGUAACCAUCUAACCCUAUAUCCUAUCUUCAAAAUAUAUAUUUACAUCAAAAAAUUUUGAAAUUGUAGAAAAGAAGAAAUUUUCUGUUCUGUAUAUUCUGACUCUAGUGUUCAAAACAUACAAAUUUCUAUGCCCAGGAAAAGGGCAUAAUAAAAAUAUUAGAGAAAGCUUUUUAAAAAAUCAAUACUUAAAGAGAUAAAUAAUGAACUUCUGGUGUUAUUUUGUAAAACUAUAAAAUUAUUGGAAAUUUGUACAGAACCAUGAAAUACAUAAUUUCUUUUCAAAUUGUAUUUCUCAGAAUAUUUUGCUGGGGGUGUUGGAAAUUCACAAUAAUUUAAAAUGAAGUCUUAAAUAAGUUCAACUUUGAAAACUAUAUACUUUGUUAUAGACUUAGUCUGACUUGAGAGUGAUUAUCCAUUUAAAGUACCACAAAAACAAUGGUAUACAGAUUUUCCAUGAGGAAAUAUUGGUUUACUUCUCUUUGCCUUUCCAUUGUGAUUAAGUAAUUGAAGGUGUGUUGAAAGUAUGCAGCAAAAAUUUAAACAAUCUUAAGUAUAGAACAAAAUCAAAAACAUUAUCUGUCUAUAAUAUUAUUUUGCUAUUUGUUAAAGCAUUGCAAACAUUGGUGAAAAUAUUGGCAAUGCUUUAAGAAAUCUAUUAUUAUACUGUACUGUAUACUUAUCUUUGUAAACAUAAAAAGUACAUGUAGCUAAGCUUCAAUACAUAGCCCCUAUGGAAAGAAUACAAUAGUUGUCCCACUAAGCAGUGGGUUAUAAAAAAUACAUCAGUACUAAAUAUAUCUUUAUGCUGGCAUGGAUUGGAUGAUUUCACAGGAAGUAAUGUACUCAAAGACUGCAUAGAGCAUGUCUUCUUAGGCAUGUUUUUUUUAUGACUGGAUGCCCUUCCUAAUGCCAACCAAUGUACAGCAUGAACUGGGUGCUUUUUUUUUUAUGCCACUUGUACUAUUGAGGUUGUCACACAGUUCACAGGACUACAUGCUCUAGGGUAGAGGAGAGCAGGUUCAUGCUUAGGGGGAGAAACCCAGAGCAGGUUCCUGUAAAGGGGUUUCACUGGAUGCUUACAUGUAGUAUGGGGGGAAAAGUGGUUGGAGCUAAGGGUGGAAAAUAGUCUGUAGGAAUUGCAAGACAUAAAUAAUGAUGAUAAGGUACCCAUGUGAUCCUACAAGCUGAGUAAAAAUGGGUGGGUAGUUUGCAAGAUUGUAUGGGAGGGUGAAAUAUGGGAUAGGGAAGCAGACUGCCAAAAUGGCUAGGGUUGAAGGGUGGGGGAGACAAGACCUAUGAACUGACAAUAAUAGAGGGAUGCAGAGGAGUAGGGGGUGAUGAGCAGCGAGAGUAAUAUAGAUGAUUCAGAGUCAGCUUCAUGCACAUGGAGUUGGGGAUACUGUGAGAGAGGAGGUAGAGGGAUCUGCAUGGUUACUCACAUCUACUAUAGGGGAAGACAAGGGAGAAGAGAAAAUUUUCAGUAGGAGCUGCAAGACAGAGAAUGAUGAUGAGGUACUCACAUGGACCCACAAGGCACAACUAGAGUAAAAUUGGGUGAGGUGUAGUGGUUUGUAAGACUUACAGUCCAUCAGUCUCAUAACAUAUACAUACACACACACACAUGUAUACAUAUAGAUAAAUAUUUAGAUAUAAACAUAUACAUACUUAUACACCACACACACACACACUUUAUAUAUUUAUAUAUAUAUAUAUAUAUAUAUAUAUAUAAUAUUAAUUAGAGACAAAACCACUAUUUUGCAAAACAAACAAGGAAAGACUUAAUCAAUACAUAAAAUUUUAAUAAAAAGUAAAAAAAACCGCCACUACAAUUGUUUCAUGUCUUGACAAAAUAAGAAAAUGGAGAAAUACAUCCAAAUCAAAUAUCAACUACCAGAUAAUACCCAAUCACAUACUUUAUUAAACCACCACAUAAGAAACUUUAAGGUCAAACAUAAUAAUAUAUGACAAAACAGUGUACAUAAAGGAGUGUAAGAGAAAAUAGAGGGAGAAUGAAAAAAAAACAUGGUGAAUUCAGUGGUCCAACACGGUGAAUCUAUAUAUAUAUAGAUUCACCAUGUUGGACCACUGAAUUCACCAUGUUUUUUUUUCAUUCUCCCUCUAUUUUCUCUUAUUCCUUCCUAUUGAAGAGCAUAGGCUCUAAACAUAAAAGACUUUUCCAUUCUUUCCUGAGUACCAAACUAAUACACUUACUUGUUGUUCCUACGCCUGUCUUCAUCAUUGCUUUUCUAUAAAUUUGAAAAUUUGAACUAUACAUACACACACACACAAAUUAUCUGUUGUGGUGUACAGAUAUUUUAAAUAUUAAGUAAAAAGGAGAAAGUGUCAAAAUUUUGGAAUUAUUCAUUGGCACUUUAAUCACAUUCAUUUCUGAGAAUCAUCAGAAAUGAUUUUUUAUAGAAAAUUCAUGCCUUUUAUAUAACUCUGGAAGAGAUGUUGUUUUGUCAUUUAUAUGUUUGCGCAUUUAUAUAUAUAUAUCACGUGAUCAUGUGACCGACCAGGAUAUCAGAUGUUGCUACACAUCGCUGGUCACAAUGCACUUUGCAUUGUUUUAGCCUUCAAAUGACGCCACCUUCCGGGUUAAGCGAGCAGGCCAACAGAAGAAAGAGUGAGAGAAAGUUGUGGCGAAAGAGUACAGCAGGGAUCGCCACCACCCACUGCCGGAGCCUCGUGGAGAUUUUAAGUGUUUUUGCUCAAUAAACAAUCACAAAACCCGGUCUGGGAAUCAAAACCACGAUCCUACGACUGCAAGUCCACUGCCCUAACCACUGGGCCAUUGCGCCUCCACACACACACACACACACAUAUAUAUAUAUGCAUGCAAACAUAUAUGCAUGCAUGUAUGUGCAAGCAUGUAUGUGUGGUGAAUUUUUGAAGGCUUGGUUAGAGGGGGAAAAAAAUAGAAAAAGGGAAAAGAGGAAAAAAGAAAGAGAAAGAAAGAAAGAGAAGGGAUCUUUUUUGUCUGAGAUGGAUUAUAUUUUAUUUUAUGGUCGCCAUUUCAAAUGUCAAUCUUGUUUUAGUUAUUGUUUUGAAGGCAUUUCUGUCUCUUCCCCUCUCUCUCUCUCCUCCUCUCUCUUCCUCUGAGCAUGCAUGCAUGUGUGUGAUUUCCGGACAAUGGACAGGCGUUAAAAUAAUAAAAUAACAGCAAUAAAUGAGUGAAAAAAAAUAUAUAGUGCAUGUGUUUAUUUGGCAAAAAAAUAAAUAAAUAAAAUGACCAUCCUGAAGUACAACAAUAUCUCUUUCAACACACAAUUUCACAUCAGGAAUCUUGCAAAAUAAAUUGGUAAAUGUAUAUAUAAAAGAAAAUUUAGAAAAUGAAGAUGUAGCAUUAAGAUGAUUUAUUAUUUUCAAAAAUCCAGCAUAUUCUCUUACAGCUGUUUCAAUUUAGCCUAAAAGAUUAAAUUACAGUCAUUAAAUCAUUGUAUAAGGCAAAAUCUCAUCAGAGGGGUAGAAAAGAUAUACCGUUAUGUUAUUAGAUAUUUUAGUUUCAAAUCAUUUCAGCAGACACUAAUUGAAUGUACAUAUACAUAUACAUGUGUAUUUUUUUAAAUUUUAUUUUAUCUAGUUUCAGCUCACGAGCUGUGGCCAUGCUGGGGCACCGCCAUUUGUAUGUAUGUGUAUAUAUAUAUGAUAUAUGAGAUAUGGCUGGUCCAUAGGAUUACUCUGGGUUUCACUUCCAUAAAGCGCUUAGCUUUACAGUGUUUCUUCAAACCCUAGGCCUAUGGCUUCUCUAGCAACAGAGACCAUAGGCCUAUGGUCUGAAGAAACACUGUAAAGCUAAGUGCUUUAUGGAUAUGAAACCCAGUGCAACCCCAUAGACAGGCCAUAUCUAUUUUUAUUGCUAUACUUUAUUGCUCUAUAACUUACAGUAUGCUUCUUUUUCAGAUUUAUAAUUUUUACCAACAAUAUAUAUGAAGAUAGUUGUGUGAAAAAGUGCCACACCCUAGCAGUUGAGGGAACCUGUGGAAGAGGUGGACCCAGGAAAACCUGGAACGAGGUGGUGAAGCACAACCUUUGAACUUUAGGUCUCACCGAGGAAAUGACUAGAGACCGAGACCUAUGGAAGUAUGCUGUGCAUGAGAAGAUCUGGCAGGAGAAGUGAGACCAUAACCCGUGGCCUCUACCUGGGAUGUAGCUGGUCCACUUAUGCAUACCUUUCCUUCUUGGGACACAGAAUUCUAGUUGUGAAGACCUGU
RNAcentral lists this long non-coding RNA (4786 nucleotides) under Octopus vulgaris (common octopus). Lineage: Eukaryota; Metazoa; Mollusca; Cephalopoda; Octopoda; Octopodidae. The record is from RNAcentral.